GAUCAUGGCUCAGAUUGAACGCUAGCGGGAUGCCUUACACAUGCAAGUCGAACGGCAGCGCGGACUUCGGGUCUGGUGGCGAGUGGCGAACGGGUGAGUAAUGUAUCGGAACGUGCCCAGUANCGGGGGAUAACUACUCGAAAGAGUAGCUAAUACCGCAUACGCCCUACGGGGAAAGGGGGGGGAUCGCAAGACCUCUCACUAUUGGAGCGGCCGAUAUCGGAUUAGCUAGUUGGUGAGGUAAAGGCUCACCAAGGCGACGAUCCGUAGCUGGUUUGAGAGGACGACCAGCCACACUGGGACUGAGACACGGCCCAGACUCCUACGGGAGGCAGCAGUGGGGAAUUUUGGACAAUGGGGGAAACCCUGAUCCAGCCAUUCCGCGUGUGCGAUGAAGGCCUUCGGGUUGUAAAGCACUUUUGGCAGGAAAGAAAUCGCAUCAAUUAAUACUUGGUGUGGAUGACGGUACCUGCAGAAUAAGCACCGGCUAACUACGUG
RNAcentral lists this ribosomal RNA (498 nucleotides) under uncultured bacterium. RNAcentral's name for it is "bacterial SSU rRNA". It matches the Rfam family "Bacterial small subunit ribosomal RNA", at positions 15 to 507 of the family's 1533-position model. The record is from RNAcentral.